This 254-nucleotide ribosomal RNA is filed under the name uncultured bacterium. RNAcentral's name for it is "partial 16S ribosomal RNA". It matches the Rfam family "Bacterial small subunit ribosomal RNA", at positions 524 to 776 of the family's 1533-position model. The record is from RNAcentral.
UACGGGGGGAGCAAGCGUUGUUCGGAUUUACUGGGCGUAAAGGGCGCGUAGGCGGCCACGACAAGUCAGUUGUGAAAUCUCUGGGCUUAACUCAGAACGGUCAACUGAUACUGUCGGGCUAGAGUGCAGAAGGGGCAACUGGAAUUCUCGGUGUAGCGGUGAAAUGCGUAGAUAUCGAGAGGAACACCUGCGGCGAAGGCGGCGUCCUGGCUCGCAUCUGACGCUCAGACACGACAGCAUGGGGAGCGAACGGG